GCCGGGGUGGCGGAACAGGUAGACGCAGUGGACUCAAAAUCCACCGGUAUUUGGUACUGUGCGGGUUCGAGUCCCGCCCCCGGCACCA
This 88-nucleotide transfer RNA is filed under the name Synergistaceae bacterium. RNAcentral's name for it is "tRNA-Leu". It matches the Rfam family "tRNA". Rfam says of the family: Transfer RNA (tRNA) molecules are approximately 80 nucleotides in length. Their secondary structure includes four short double-helical elements and three loops (D, anti-codon, and T loops). The record is from RNAcentral. Lineage: Bacteria; Thermotogati; Synergistota; Synergistia; Synergistales; Synergistaceae.